This 488-nucleotide ribosomal RNA is filed under the name uncultured bacterium. RNAcentral's name for it is "partial 16S ribosomal RNA". It matches the Rfam family "Bacterial small subunit ribosomal RNA", at positions 30 to 506 of the family's 1533-position model. The record is from RNAcentral.
UUGAACGCUGGCGGCAGGCCUCACACAUGCAAGUCGCACGGUAACAGGAAGAAGCUUGCUUCUUUGCUGACGAGUGGCGGACGGGUGAGUAAUGUCUGGGAAACUGCCUGAUGGAGGGGGAUAACUACUGGAAACGGUAGCUAAUACCGCAUAACGUCGCAAGACCAAAGAGGGGGACCUUCGGGCCUCUUGCCAUCGGAUGUGCCCAGAUGGGAUUAGCUAGUAGGUGGGGUAACGGCUCACCUAGGCGACGAUCCCUAGCUGGUCUGAGAGGAUGACCAGCCACACUGGAACUGAGACACGGUCCAGACUCCUACGGGAGGCAGCAGUGGGGAAUAUUGCACAAUGGGCGCAAGCCUGAUGCAGCCAUGCCGCGUGUAUGAAGAAGGCCUUCGGGUUGUAAAGUACUUUCAGCGGGGAGGAGGGGAGUAAAGUUAAUACCUUUGCUCAUUGACGUUACCCGCAGAAGAAGCACCGGCUAACUCCGU